RNAcentral lists this non-coding RNA (245 nucleotides) under Clostridium sp. RNAcentral's name for it is "T-box sequence". It matches the Rfam family "T-box leader". Rfam says of the family: Uncharged tRNA acts as the effector for transcription antitermination of genes in the T-box leader family. T-boxes are found upstream of many aminoacyl-tRNA synthetase genes and some amino acid biosynthetic genes usually in Gram-positive bacteria. The record is from RNAcentral. Lineage: Bacteria; Bacillati; Bacillota; Clostridia; Eubacteriales; Clostridiaceae.
CUAAAUGCUAUGAAGGAAAGAGUAAUAAAUGAAAAUAUCUAAAGAGAGUCGGGGAAGGUGAAAGCCGAUGAUAUGGAAAUUUAUGAACAUGGCUCCAGAGCAGGUUAUCUGAAGUAUAGUAGGAUAGCACGGUAACAACCGUUAUAUUGUAAAGUGAUAACGUAUUAUUACGAAGUCACUUAUUGAGACUUUUACUGUGAAGUGAAAGUGAAUUAGAGUGGUACAGCGAAUUUUACGCCUCUAUA